Molecule: ribosomal RNA, 478 nt
Filed under: uncultured soil bacterium
Lineage: Bacteria
Description: bacterial SSU rRNA
Rfam family: Bacterial small subunit ribosomal RNA
Source: RNAcentral
AUGCAAGUUGAGCGAGAAGACGUAGCAAUACGUUUGUAAAGCGGCGAACGGGUGAGGAAUACAUGGGUAACCUACCCUCGAGUGGGGAAUAACUAGCCGAAAGGUUAGCUAAUACCGCGUACGCUUCUUGGACUUCGGUUCAGGGAGGAAAGCGAUACCGUGGGUAUCGCGCUCUUGGAUGGGCUCAUGUCCUAUCAGCUUGUUGGUGAGGUAACGGCUCACCAAGGCUUCGACGGGUAGCUGGUCUGAGAGGACGAUCAGCCACACUGGCACUGCGACACGGGCCAGACUCCUACGGGAGGCAGCAGUAAGGAAUAUUGCGCAAUGGGCGAAAGCCUGACGCAGCGACGCCGCGUGGGGGAUGAAGGUCUUCGGAUUGUAAACCCCUUUCGGGAGGGAAGAUGGAAUGGGGUAACCCAUUCGGACGGUACCUCCAGAAGCAGCCACGGCUAACUUCGUGCCAGCAGCCCGCGGUAAU